AUUGAACGCUGGCGGCAGGCCUAACACAUGCAAGUCGAGCGGAUGAAGGGAGCUUGCUCCUGGAUUCAGCGGCGGACGGGUGAGUAAUGCCUAGGAAUCUGCCUGGUAGUGGGGUAUAACGUCCGGAGACGGGCGCUAAUACCGCAUACGUCCUGAGGGAGAAAGUGGGGGAUCUUCGGACCUCACGCUAUCAGAGGAGCCUAGGUCGGAUUAGCUAGUUGGUGGGGUAAAGGCCUACCAAGGCGACGAUCGGUAACUGGUCUGACAGGAUGAUCAGUCACCCUGGAAGUGAGACACGGUCCAGACUCCUACGGGAGGCAGCAGUGGGGAAUAGUGGACAGUGGGCGAAAGCCUGAUCCAGCCAUGCCGCGUGUGUGAAGAAGGUCUUCGGAUUGUAAAGCCCUUUAAGUUGUGAGGAAGGGCAGUAAGUUAAUACGUUGCUGUUUUGACGUUAACAACAGAAUAAGCACCGGCUAACUUCGUG
RNAcentral lists this ribosomal RNA (484 nucleotides) under uncultured bacterium. RNAcentral's name for it is "partial 16S ribosomal RNA". It matches the Rfam family "Bacterial small subunit ribosomal RNA", at positions 30 to 507 of the family's 1533-position model. The record is from RNAcentral.